Esox lucius (northern pike) is the source of this 501-nucleotide long non-coding RNA. The record is from Ensembl. NCBI's taxonomy places the organism in Eukaryota, Metazoa, Chordata, Actinopteri, Esociformes, Esocidae.
GAAAUAAGCAUCAACAUUUUGUUAUUUGUUCAUGCAUGUAUUCUUGACCAUUAUUUUGAUUGAAACUCACGUUUCGUGAGGGGGAUCUUGUAGUUUAUGACGAUUGUCUUUGAAUGCUUAUUCCCUUUCCGUUUCAGAGUACAGGUAUAUUCCUUUGUUUCAUUGACAUGAACAUGGCUUGUAAGUAGAAGGUGACAGUCACCCUUUUCUGUUUUACUAAAGACUGAGUCAUUUCUCUUCUCAUAGGGAUUUUCAGAGCUCCCCAACAGGGCCUCUGUGGUACGGAAUUCACACUGAAAGGAAGGUGACCCAGGACAUGGUGGAUACCGGCAUUCCAACCUGAGGAUCUUCUCUACAGUGAUGCAGGCACGACCCAAGGAUUGCCAUUCUUGAAAUCCUGUGGGAUGUUAACAUCAAAGACUGACAAAGUUUCCAAACAUCACUUCAAUAUUUUCAGUAACCUCCAGUCAUCAACUAUGUUGGACAGCUCUGAGUUGGCAG